Molecule: RNase P RNA, 384 nt
Filed under: Prevotella sp. 885
Lineage: Bacteria; Pseudomonadati; Bacteroidota; Bacteroidia; Bacteroidales; Prevotellaceae
Also listed under: 1 other name
Description: Bacterial RNase P class A
Rfam family: Bacterial RNase P class A
About the family: Ribonuclease P (RNase P) is a ubiquitous endoribonuclease, found in archaea, bacteria and eukarya as well as chloroplasts and mitochondria. Its best characterised activity is the generation of mature 5'-ends of tRNAs by cleaving the 5'-leader elements of precursor-tRNAs. Cellular RNase Ps are ribonucleoproteins.
Source: Rfam by way of RNAcentral
ACAGUGUCUCGGUUCUGCCGCUGCUACGCAUUGGUGUAGGAGAGGAAAGUCCGGGCAGCACAGGGAACCCCACUUCCGAAAGUAGAAGCUGUCGGCGACGGCAGGUGUCGGUAGAAGAAAACAACCGCCACGCCUUGUGUGUGGUAAGGGUGAGAAGGUGGUGUAAGAGACCACCAGCCGGUGGGCGACCAUCGGGCUGUACCAUCUGGGGGCUGCAAGUUCAUGUAUACCAUCGUUUGAGGGCGUCCCGUCCGACCGUAGUGACGAUGGAGGGUAGAAUGCUGGAGGUGCAGGGCGACUUGCACAGUAGAUAAAUGGCAGAAGGCUUACGUCUUAGUAAUGAGGCGCGAGAAACAGAACCCGGCUUACAGAGACACUGUUUCC